Molecule: unclassified non-coding RNA, 331 nt
Filed under: Hevea brasiliensis (rubber tree)
Lineage: Eukaryota; Viridiplantae; Streptophyta; Magnoliopsida; Malpighiales; Euphorbiaceae
Source: RNAcentral
GUAAGUCUCGUAUACAGUUGUGUUGCUUUGUAGUUUUUAUAUUUUAAAGUACAAGACAUUCUUUGCCUUAGCUGAAACUGCCAAAGCACCAAGGAAAAGGUGUUUUGGGAACAAGCUACUUGUACUAACCUAGCCUAAUCAUGAUACGGUCAAGCAUGGAAUCAAGCAGCGGAAUGAUUUUGUAAUAGGAUUAUGUUGUGCCUUACUGACUACAUGGUGCCAUGAACUGUCAAUAUCCCUAAAUGUCUUGAGUUUAGAAUUCAGCAGUGUCAAAGAUUAGCUUUGAUAUGAGCAAUAAAGAUUACUGAUGAUUGUAUCUCAGCGCUUUUUU